GGGGUAGUAAAGGUUUCGACAGGAGUCUUGCAGCUGGAGAAGCUAUCCGUUGUGACACGUUAAUCACAAAAUUAAACUAAACGCUGAAGAUAAUACUCAGUUAGCAUUUGCAGCGUAAUUGCUGUGAAUGACGCUGCCUUAGGCAGCUUGUCCGCUCCGGGGCACUCACACCUCGGAAUCCGGGCAUCAACCAUGUGAGAAACGACAUGCGUUAAGCUUUGCGCGCAUGGGCGUAAAAUGAAGCUACCAAAUGGAGCAGGCUGUUCGUUUCCUGCCCCAGGCGGGAACAGGCCGGGGAAAGCCCGGCCAAGAUAACGGACUAUGAUAGUAGAAGGACAGGGAAUGGGCUUUUGGACACGGGUUCGACUCCCGUCUACUCCAU
RNAcentral lists this transfer-messenger RNA (382 nucleotides) under Candidatus Acetatifactor stercoripullorum. It matches the Rfam family "transfer-messenger RNA". From Rfam's summary of the family: Bacterial tmRNA, also known as 10Sa RNA or SsrA, is named for its dual tRNA and mRNA-like properties. Its role is to liberate the mRNA from a stalled ribosome. To accomplish this part of the tmRNA is used as a reading frame that ends in a translation stop signal. Lineage: Bacteria; Bacillati; Bacillota; Clostridia; Lachnospirales; Lachnospiraceae. The record is from RNAcentral.